GGAUGAGGACGCCCUUCCCCCUGUCAUUGAGGAUCGUCAGCUUCUCCGCAAACUUGUGCUGGUAGAUGGAGGGCAGAGACAUCUCCCCAGGUGUGAUGGAUCCCGAGCGGCUCAUCCCAUGCCCCUAUGAUAAAAACCACCAGAUCCGAGCCUCCAGGUUUCCCUACCACUUGGUCAAAUGCGGAGAGAAUAACAAGAAAAGAGCCAAAGAGCUGGCCACGUGCCCCUACAAUGCUCGCCACAGAGUCCCAAAGCGAGAGCUCCAGCUGCACAUCUCCGCCUGCACAGACAACAGGGCGUCAGAGCUGUUCAGUGGGACAUCAAUGACUUUCAGUCCCAAGAAGGAACUGAAAGAGACUCCAAGAUCCUGGCAGUGUCCCCCCUGCCAAGAGGACUGGGAGGCAGACACAGAUGAGUCUGCUGCCACUGCUCCUUUUGUUCUUGGCUUCAAGGCAAACUGUACCUUAAGCACAAGUCAAAGUGUUGGUGAGACAGGCCAGGAUGGAAACCAGCAAAUGCAGGCUGUAAGCACCUCAGCAGCAGCAUGGACUCCGAAGGGUCACUCCUGGAGAAAUGACAUGGAUUAUGAGUCCUCUCAGCUGUAGCAUCACAAUGGGAGUUCACGAGCUGCUUCUUUUCGUCUUAAGACCUGUAAAUCCUCUUCAGCCAGUGCUCUCCAGGAUCCAGUCCCCCAUUCGACAUCACCACCCAGCGACUGAAGCACUGCUCUAAGGGGAGAGCCUGGCUGAAAGGGCAGCCAGUGGUGAGAAGUAUGUCAGUUUGUAAGGGCACUGAAAGUGUUAAGAUCGGUUUAGAAUGCAUUUUGCUUUUAUUUCAUUUGACCAAAUCUGACUUAGAUUUUAAGUGAUUAUAAGUGUCAUAAACAGAUAGCUAAGGGUUAAUGUCUCUUUCACCUGGAAAGGAGUAACCUGAAACACCUGAACAAAGGACCAAUCAGGAAACAAGACUUUUUCAAAUCUGGGUGGAGGGAAGUUUGUGUGUGAGU
Gopherus flavomarginatus (Mexican gopher tortoise) is the source of this 1006-nucleotide RNA transcript. It is a transcript of the gene named gametocyte-specific factor 1-like, with no coding region annotated. NCBI's taxonomy places the organism in Eukaryota, Metazoa, Chordata, Testudines, Testudinidae. The record is from RefSeq and is a predicted model, not a curated record. The transcript is spliced from 8 exons.